CUCGGCCGGUCAGGAGAGAGCCUCGCAACGCGGGGCCGCCGAAGGCGCAGGUCCCCGAAGUCAAGGGCCCGAACGCUCAGGCAAAAGGACUGACGAGG
RNAcentral lists this non-coding RNA (98 nucleotides) under Variovorax sp. Its description in RNAcentral is "Glycine sequence". It matches the Rfam family "Glycine riboswitch aptamer". Rfam says of the family: This family represents the bacterial glycine riboswitch. Glycine riboswitches usually consist of two metabolite-binding aptamers domains with similar structures in tandem. The aptamers cooperatively bind glycine to regulate the expression of downstream genes. Lineage: Bacteria; Pseudomonadati; Pseudomonadota; Betaproteobacteria; Burkholderiales; Comamonadaceae. The record is from RNAcentral.